GGCUCUCUUUUUCAAACACCAGUCAUUUCAAUAUGGUCAGGGCCUUUAUAGCAAUUUACUCCUUAGAGCAAAAUAUUUGGCCUAAAUACUCUGGGCUGUCAUGGUGUCUGGUCUAGGUGGAAGGACAGUUGCCGGCUCCUCGGGUUAAGUGAAUUCUUCCAUCUUCAUUUCUUCACAUGGAGCUCUGUCUGCUGCUGCUGUAAGAAAAAUGACACCGAACCUGGGAGGAAAGACAUGAGACAGAGAAAUGUAAUGAGCACUUGUCUUCCGGAUCAAAAGCAGCGUGGGCGUGAGCAUCAUCAGAGUCAUUCUAGCAGGCACAGGGACGCUCAUCCCGACUACAGAGCUGACUACUGUGUCCACCCCGGGAACGAAGUGUCCCAUUCUGUCGCAGCAUGCCAGGCCUCCCUGUCCAUCACCAACUCCCGGAGUCCACCCAAACUCAUGUGCAUCGAGUCGGUGAUACCAUCCAACCAUCUCAUCCUCUGUCAUCCCCUUCUCCUGACUUCAAUCUUUCCCAGCAUCGGGCUCUUUUCAAAUGAGUCAGCUCUUCGCAUCAGGUAGCCAAAGUACUGGAGUUUCAGCCUCAGCAUCAGUCUUUCCAAUGAACAGCCAGGACUGAUCUCCGUUAGGAUGGACUGGUUGGAUCUCCUUGCAGUCCAAGGGACUCUCAAAGACUUCUCCAACACCACAAUUCAAAAGCAUCAACUCUUCGACGCUCAGCUU
Long non-coding RNA from Bos taurus (domestic cattle), 726 nucleotides. The record is from Ensembl. NCBI's taxonomy places the organism in Eukaryota, Metazoa, Chordata, Mammalia, Artiodactyla, Bovidae.